RNAcentral lists this ribosomal RNA (432 nucleotides) under uncultured bacterium. RNAcentral describes it as "partial 16S ribosomal RNA". It matches the Rfam family "Bacterial small subunit ribosomal RNA", at positions 29 to 506 of the family's 1533-position model. The record is from RNAcentral.
AACGAACGCUGUCGGCAUGCCUAACACAUGCAAGUCGAACGAGACCUUCGGGUCUAGUGGCGCACGGGUGCGUAACGCGUGGGAACCUGCCCUUAGGUUCGGAAUAACUCCCCGAAAGGGGUGCUAAUACCGGAUAAUGUCUUCGGACCAAAGAUUUAUCGCCUUUGGAUGGGCCCGCGUUGGAUUAGCUAGUUGGUAGGGUAAAAGCCUACCAAGGCGACGAUCCAUAGCUGGUCUGAGAGGAUGAUCAGCCACACUGGGACUGAGACACGGCCCAGACUCCUACGGGAGGCAGCAGUGGGGAAUAUUGGACAAUGGGCGAAAGCCUGAUCCAGCAAUGCCGCGUGAGUGAUGAAGGCCUUAGGGUUGUAAAGCUCUUUUACCCGGGAUGAUAAUGACAGUACCGGGAGAAUAAGCUCCGGCUAACUCCGU